AUUGAACGCUGGCGGUAGGCUUAACACAUGCAAGUCGUGCGAGAAAGUAUCUUCGGAUAUGAGUAGAGCGGCGGACGGGUGAGUAACGCGUAGGAAUCUACCUAGUAGAAGGGGAUAGCCCGGGGAAACCCGGAUUAAUACCGUAUACCUCCUUCGGGAGAAAGAAGGCCUCUCUUUGAAGCUUUCGCUAUUAGAUGAGCCUGCGUAAGAUUAGCUUGUUGGUGAGGUAAAGGCUCACCAAGGCUACGAUCUUUAGCUGGUCUGAGAGGACGAUCAGCCACAUUGGGACUGAGACACGGCCCAGACUCCUACGGGAGGCAGCAGUGGGGAAUAUUGGACAAUGGGCGCAAGCCUGAUCCAGCCAUACCGCGUGUGUGAAGAAGGCCUUCGGGUUGUAAAGCACUUUAAGCAGGGAGAAAAAGUUAUAAGUUAAUACCUUAUAACCGUGAUGUUACCUGCAGAAUAAGCACCGGCUAAUUCCGUGCCAGCAGCCGCGGUAAUACGGAAGGUGCAAGCGUUAAUCGGAAUUACUGGGCGUAAAGCGCGCGUAGGUGGUUUGUUAAGUUGGAUGUGAAAGCCCUGGGCUCAACCUAGGAACUGCAUCCAAAACUAACUCACUAGAGUACGAUAGAGGGAGGUAGAAUUCAUAGUGUAGCGGUGGAAUGCGUAGAUAUUAUGAAGAAUACCAGUGGCGAAGGCGGCCUCCUGGAUCUGUACUGACACUGAGGUGCGAAAGCGUGGGUAGCGAACAGGAUUAGAUACCCUGGUAGUCCACGCCGUAAACGAUGACAACUAGCUGUUGGGAGACAAUGUCUCUCAGUGGCGCAGCUAACGUUUUAAGUUGUCCGCCUGGGGGAGUACGGCCGCAAGGCUAAAACUCAAAUGAAUUGACGGGGACCCGCACAAGCGGUGGAGCAUGUGGGUUUAAUUCGAUGCAACGCGAAAAACCUUACCUACUC
RNAcentral lists this ribosomal RNA (959 nucleotides) under uncultured bacterium. Its description in RNAcentral is "bacterial SSU rRNA". It matches the Rfam family "Bacterial small subunit ribosomal RNA", at positions 28 to 980 of the family's 1533-position model. The record is from RNAcentral.